CCUACGGGUGGCUGCAGUGAGGAAUAUUGGUCAAUGGUCGGGAGACUGAACCAGCCAAGCCGCGUGAGGGAGGAAGGUACAGAGUAUCGUAAACCUCUUUUGUCAGGGAACAAAGGCGGGGACGUGUCCCCGGAUGAGUGUACCUGAAGAAAAAGCAUCGGCUAACUCCGUGCCAGCAGCCGCGGUAAUACGGAGGAUGCGAGCGUUAUCCGGAAUUAUUGGGUUUAAAGGGAGCGUAGGCCGCAUGUCAAGUGUGCUGGGAAAUGUCCGGGCUCAACCCGGGCCUUGCAGCGCAAACUGGCGUGCUUGAGUCGGCGAGAAGCAGGCGGAAUGCGUGGUGUAGCGGUGAAAUGCUUAGAUAUGACGCAGAACCCCGAUUGCGAAGGCAGCUUUCUGGAGCGGAACUGACGCUGAGGCACGAAAGCGCGGGUAUCGAACAGGAUUAGAUACCCGGGUAGUC
This 460-nucleotide ribosomal RNA is filed under the name uncultured bacterium. RNAcentral describes it as "partial 16S ribosomal RNA". It matches the Rfam family "Bacterial small subunit ribosomal RNA", at positions 338 to 795 of the family's 1533-position model. The record is from RNAcentral.